UGGCUCAGAAGGUAAAGCGUCUGCCUACAAUGCAGGAGAGCCAGGUUCUAUCCCUGG
Molecule: transfer RNA, 57 nt
Filed under: Ovis aries (sheep)
Lineage: Eukaryota; Metazoa; Chordata; Mammalia; Artiodactyla; Bovidae
Source: Rfam by way of RNAcentral